This 484-nucleotide ribosomal RNA is filed under the name uncultured bacterium. RNAcentral describes it as "partial 16S ribosomal RNA". It matches the Rfam family "Bacterial small subunit ribosomal RNA", at positions 29 to 507 of the family's 1533-position model. The record is from RNAcentral.
AGUGAACGCUGGCAGCAGGCCUAACACAUGCAAGUCGAGCGGCAGCGCGGGGGCAACCCUGGCGGCGAGCGGCGGACGGGUGAGGAAUUCGUCGGAAUCUGCCUUUUUGUGGGGGAUAACGUAGGGAAACUUACGCUAAUACCGCAUACGUCCUACGGGAGAAAGUGGGGGACCGCAAGGCCUCACGCAGAAAGAUGAGCCGACGACCGAUUAGCUAGUUGGUGGGGUAAAGGCCCACCAAGGCGACGAUCGGUAGCUGGUCUGAGAGGAUGAUCAGCCACACUGGGACUGAGACACGGCCCAGACUCCUACGGGAGGCAGCAGUGGGGAAUAUUGGACAAUGGGCGCAAGCCUGAUCCAGCCAUGCCGCGUGUGUGAAGAAGGCCUUCGGGUUGUAAAGCACUUUUGUCCGGAAAGAAAUCCCUGGAGCUAAUACCUUCGGGGGAUGACGGUACCGGAAGAAUAAGCACCGGCUAACUUCGUG